UCUUUCCAACUAACCAACUGUACUACUUUUCCAACUAAAAGACUACCUGUAUCAUUGCACACCUACCUAUAUUCUCCUCUACUUUAAUUCAAAAUUUCCUGAAAAACACGCUUUCUCACGGUCCUUUUCACGCUUUUCUUUCUCUUUCACCUUUUCUCUUUAGAUCUUUUUUUCUCUUUCUCUCUACAGAAGGUGAGGAAUCUUCUUCCUCUUCCUCAAUCUUCUUCGUUUUCCUCUUCAUAUUCCUCUUCCUCAACCUUCUUCCUCUUUCUAUCUCACUUCCCUCUCUUUGUUUUUCUCUAUCGUUGAGAUGAAACCCUAAUUUCUGAUUAUGUAAUGAUGCACGGAAUUAGGGUUUCAGAAAUCUUAUUUUGCCUAAAACAAGAGACACGAAAUCAAGACUUUGGAGAAAUCAUUGGUAUCCCUUUUUGUAUUCUACCAUGGUGAGUUUCGAUUUCGAUUCCGUAACUUAUGUGAAAGAAAAUGAAGCCGCUGAAAAUUGAUGAAACUGUCAUGGGUCCUCCCGGCUUCAGCGUCGAACACCUUUUUGGUAUCCUUUUUUGUAUUCUACGUUUUUAUGUUAUUUCUGAUUUUUUUUUUUGAUUUAGGUUUUUUCUGUUUUAGCAUUCAAAUCUGUGAUGGAUGCAAUGGAUUCAAGAACGUGAAAGUUAGGAUUCUGGUGUUGUGGUUAGGGUUUUUGUGGUGCAGGAGGAGAUUUUUGAACUUUUUUCUGCUUUGUAUUUUAUAUUUUAGGGUUGUGAGUUUUAAGCUCUAAAGUAUUGAUUUUUUAUAUGUUAGCAAUUAGUAGUACUCUGAUUAAUUUUAAUUUGUAUAUGUUAAGAGCUAUAUAGACAAGUUUGUUAACAAAACAUACACUAAUUGCCAUGAGUUGCAGUGAAAGUGAUUCCAGAUGCAGGUAUUCACAUGUUCUCUUGGUUUUACUUCUGUUUCUAUGCUCUAUCAAAAUAUGUGUGCCUCAUUAUCUUUAUUUUGAUUUUUUAGCUCCCAGCAUGUCGAUCCUCGUGCUUACAUGUUGAAGAAAACUGAAUUAAAAUAUGUGUUUAAUAAAUGAAUUUUUGUGUAAGUCAACAACAACCUUACUUUCAUUUAAAUUUCAAUCCAUAUUGAACACUUUCUCUGAAACAUAUGGAAGAGUGCUGAUGUAUUGUUGUUCAACACGGGACAUUGGUGGACUCAUCAAGGAUUCCUUCAAGAGUAGGCAAGAAUAUCUCAUAUCAGCUACUCUGCUUUGAAACUUGGAAAUCCUAAGUUUGCUGAAGAUGGUGCAAAUGAUAUAUAGUUAUAGUGAGAUUUGAUGUGCAUUGGGUUAUGUUCAUAGGUUGUCUUACAACUCAAAUUUUGUGUAUUUCUGAAUCAAUGUCUUUUAUCCUUCAACUUCAUGGUUGUUGUUGGUAUCAUCGUGGCUAACAAAUUCGUCGGAAAUCAAAACCAUUUUUCCUCUUAUGUUGCGUGUAACUUAUCAUCAUUAUGAAAUGUCACUUAUGUUGCAUAUUAUAGCUUUAUUGUUGAUAGGUGAUGGGUAAGGCAUGGUUUUAACUUCCCAAUUUUCCUCACAUUCAUUCACUACGUUGCCGCUUGGGUUCUGCUUGCAAUUUUCGAAACUAUAUCAGUGCUUCCAGUGUCGCCUUCAUCUGAAUCAACUCCAUUCUCUUCUAUAUUUGCAAUUGGCCCUGUUAUGGCUUUUGCAUCUAGUCUUACAAACACCAGCCUCAAGUAUAACAGGUUCGUGAUCUUGCUCUAACAUACUUAUUAGCCGAAACUGCAUCAGAGUUCUAUAUUUUCUUCUGUGUAAAAUAUUUGGAAUUUUCUUUUCUGGUUUUUACCAGUUUUGGUUUAUGCAGUGUUGGGCAUGGUUCUCCUAUGUAAUAUGGUUCAUGUGGAAGAGUUAAUGGUUUAUUAACAACAGAUUAUAUAUGUUUUGUGAACUUACAUAUGGUUGUGUCGUUUGUAAAUGUCAUUUAGUAAAUCAGAAUGUUUGACAAUUGAAACAUGACACGAGCCUUAGUUGAUACUACUUGACAUGUUUUGCUAUAGCUACAGUAGUGAUGAAUUCAAGAUCUUCGGCCUUUGCCACACGAAGCCAAAGUUUUAUGGACCGCGGUUUGGCAAGACACCGUAUCAAUGCUUUUGAAUCCAACAUAAUGAUGAAGAUGAACUAUGAAUUUUAGUGAUCUUGGAUAAAUCCAUAUAGACUAUGUUGCUAUCAAACACGUUGUGUUGCUCACUUUAACAAUCAUGAGUAACCUUCUUGCGAAACCUAACGCCAGGUUGUAUGGAUUCUAAUGUUAUGGAGGCGAAGAUUGUUGUGAGUUCUUGUGGACAUGAUCGACCUUUUUGUGCUACUGGUGUGAAGAGGUCGAAGAGUAUUAGGAUGAUUUAUUUUGUUUGGGAACAUAAGCACUUGAUAUGAAUAUUGCUGAAGUUUGGGUGAUGAAAAUAAGGACAGAAUUGAGGCAAAUAACGGGCUUGCAUUUCGUGAAAGAUGGAUGCAAAGUAUUGUAUUGAUAUGUAUCAUUAUGUUCCAAAUAAGUCACUUUUAACACCAUUAUCGAUAUUUUCAUAACCGAUCAAAAUUUCAGAUGAACACUGAUGGACUAUUUGUAACAAAUUUUGGAAUUUUGCAGAAUUUUGGAAACAAGUUCCUCCAAAUGAGCCAUACAAUGUUGUUCUCAGAUGAUGUGAGGUUUCAUGUUCUAUCGAAAUAUGACAAAGGUAAAAGAAGUUGUAGAGGAAAUUUGUAGCAUCAUAACACUAGGAGGUAAAGAAAGUCUGCAGAUUCAUUAGCAAUAGUUGAUUGUGAACUUCAAACUGUUAUUCACACUGAUGAUUCCAACUAUAAUGGAGAAGCAGAAAUAGGUUGGUUCA
Molecule: long non-coding RNA, 2886 nt
Organism: Vicia villosa (hairy vetch)
Lineage: Eukaryota; Viridiplantae; Streptophyta; Magnoliopsida; Fabales; Fabaceae
Exons: 4
Source: RefSeq, a predicted model, not a curated record